This is a long non-coding RNA of Colias croceus (clouded yellow), 486 nucleotides long. RefSeq lists it as uncharacterized. The record is from RefSeq and is a predicted model, not a curated record. The transcript has 3 exons. Lineage: Eukaryota; Metazoa; Arthropoda; Insecta; Lepidoptera; Pieridae.
UCAACAAUAACAAGUCGAUGGCUGAAAGCCGAUAAUAUGUGGUUGUGUUGGAUAACAUUAAUUUUGCAUCUUUUCUUUUACAUAAUUUUAUGCGAAAAAGAUAAAGACAUCAAUUACAAAAUACUCCGAUAUGAAUUUGGUAAUGCUUCAGCAACCGAAGUUCUUUCAAUGGUGCUUGUGGAUACAAUUCCUCCUUUUGAACCAAUUUACCGCGUUAAUUUGAUGCCUCAAAAUGUAGCAACAAUACAUAAAAAAAUUACGCAUUUCUAUGUGGAAUACAUCAGUAUUAUAUCAAAAGUUAACAUCGUUUACAAUCAAAACACUUCUAUUUUGGAAUUUCAAAUUAAAUUUCCAUUUUAUAAGAUACCAUUUGGAGUUAUUGGUUUUUCAGCAGCAACACCGACAUUAGAAUGGCCCAAUUGGCCCACAAAGCGUUGAAAGUGUUGAGUUUAAAUAAAAUUUACCGUACCGUAUGCUAGUAGUGUA